Molecule: long non-coding RNA, 238 nt
Filed under: Elaeis guineensis (African oil palm)
Lineage: Eukaryota; Viridiplantae; Streptophyta; Magnoliopsida; Arecales; Arecaceae
Description: long non-coding RNA (EGUI_LNC049428)
Source: RNAcentral
UUAUCAGUUUAGUAAUUCCCUUCGUCCUUAUUAUUUAAGGAUGGGGUGUAGCACUUCCAUCCUAUAUUUAGGGGUGGGGUGUUACAAAAAGAGAGGGUGGAUGAGAGAGAGAGAGAGGAUGAGAGGAUAGGAGAGAGGGCAUGAUAUCCUCCCCUUGGUUUUGUACAUGCACAUGGAGGGGAGGAGAGGAAUAGAGAUGAGCGACAGAGAGAGAGAUGGUGAAAGAGAAGGUAGGCGA